RNAcentral lists this non-coding RNA (23 nucleotides) under Arabidopsis thaliana (thale cress). The record is from RNAcentral. Lineage: Eukaryota; Viridiplantae; Streptophyta; Magnoliopsida; Brassicales; Brassicaceae.
GAAUAUCUGGAAGUUCAGGCCCA